Molecule: long non-coding RNA, 1820 nt
Organism: Dermochelys coriacea (leatherback sea turtle)
Lineage: Eukaryota; Metazoa; Chordata; Testudines; Dermochelyidae
Exons: 3
Source: RefSeq, a predicted model, not a curated record
AAACUACUUGCUUACAAAAUCAGACAUAAAAAUACAAAAGUAUCAUGGCGCGCUGUUACUGAAAAAUUGUUUGCUUUCUCAUUUUUACCAUAUAGUUAUAAAUCAAGUGGAGUAUAAAUAGUUCAGCGUAUAGUAUGUAGAGCAGUAUAAACGUCAUUGUCUAUAUGAAACUUUAGUUUGUACUGACUUUGCUAGUGCUUUUUAUGUAGCCUGUUGUAAAACUAGGCAAAUAAUUAGAGUUGAUGUGGAAGACCUCUGUGUAUCCCCAGGGGUACACAUACCCCUGUUUGAGAACCACAGGAUUAGAUUAUGUAUUGUGGAAGGAUACAAGGCAUCAGAAAUUUCAGUCCAGAAGCGGUCAGGACACACUCCUACAAUCCUUGGUGACAUCAUGUGCAAAAUAGCUCAUGCAUUUACAGCAGAAAUUUGUAAGGUGGCCACAUGGUCAACUACUACCAUUGUUAGCAAGCAUUACAAGGUGGACUUCCGGUUCCGUGCACUGGUGAGCUGAGCAGGAAGGUGCUGGAGGUGAUGGCUUAGAAAUGAUUUUUGCCUUUGAGCAAAUGUUAUGAGCAGGGAGGGGAUACUGUUUUCCUUUUCUUCUGACCUUCUCUAUGCCCUCCCUACAUCUGUUCACUGCUCGACAAGUCCCAGAGAAUUGUGGGAAAUUCUGGGCUACAGUAUAGAAAAGUUCUUAUUGAUGAUUUCCUUUCUGCUAGCAGUCUCUCCCACAAGUCUAUUCACUUGGCCUCGAGCCAAAAAGUCAGCUGCUGAGUGGGAUCUUUAAGAUGGGCUUUUUUUUUCUGUUGUGGUCCACUGAACAUAGUUGGUCAGUUACCUCUGAAGUAUUAGUUACUAAUAUUAUUAUACAAUUUUUACAGCUUUGGAAUAACUCAUCUGUCCACAAGCAGGAGCCGAGGAGGCAUGGCCAGAGUGGUGGCAACAAAAAGCUGAUCUGUCUCUGUGAACUGCAAGAGCGAGCAGAGCAGCCCAGAUGUCAAGAACUAUGGAAGACGUGGCUAGCAGAAAGGUAAUUAUUGGUCAUACUCUCCUCCAGAACCUUCAGUGAAACUCAAGAUUCCUGAAUCUCAGCAUUCCUCUGCAGUCAACAAAUAUCUGUGAAACCCACUGGCAAAGUGCAUGUCUCAUCCUGCCUCCAGUGCUGAUACACAUAGGGAAUGACAAACUACUAUUGAUAUCAGAUACUCCAUUAGUUCAAGUGGCAGAGGUCUGUGCUGAGGAUCUUAAGGCUCCAACCUUGCUGAUGAUGUGUUGAAGGUGUCUGGACCCCUUCCUCAUUAGUUCAAAGGUGUUGCAGUACAGCAUGCAGAGUUUUGGAUUCCAGAUCACACCAGCCCCAUUGUAACUGAAAACUAUGGGUUCUGUGGGAAACAAUGGCAACUGAAAGGGACAACUUGCACCAGUGUGCAGAAUUGUGUUCUCUCCCAGUAAUGUGGCAAGUCCUUUAGAACAAACUUUUCAUAGCUGCCCACUAAUUGUGUUUUCACUUUCUGCUUGCCCAACUUGAGACCCUGGAGUCUGAUUUGCAAAAGUUCUGAGCAUUCACAGAUGCAACUAAAGUCAGUGGGAGCUGUGCUUUGAACAUAAAGUGUUAUAAAAAUGCUAACUAUUCCCUGAAAAAUCAGAAUGCAGAGGUCUGAAAUUGGGCAACCGAAGUUUAUGGACACUUUUGAUGUUAAUCUCAGUUUCAGUACCCCAUUUAUAAAAAGGGGAUAUCACCUCAUCUCACAUGGGAGUUACAAAUAUAAGUUCAUUAAUACUUGUGAAGCACUCAGAUACCAUAGUGAAGACUACCAUAG